GCGUGUGUGAAGAAGGCCUUCGGGUUGUAAAGCACUUUCAGCUGUGAGGAAAGGCGAGUGGUUAAUACCCGCUUGCUGUGACGUUAACAGCAGAAGAAGGACCGGCUAACUCCGUGCCAGCAGCCGCGGUAAUACGGAGGGUCCGAGCGUUAAUCGGAAUUACUGGGCGUAAAGCGCGCGUAGGUGGUUCAGUCAGUCAGAUGUGAAAGCCCCGGGCUCAACCUGGGAACUGCACCUGAUACUGCUGAGCUAGAGUACGGUAGAGGGUAGUGGAAUUUCCGGUGUAGCGGUGAAAUGCGUAGAGAUCGGAAGGAACACCAGUGGCGAAGGCGACUACCUGGACCGAUACUGACACUGAGGUGCGAAAGCGUGGGUAGCAAACAGGAUUAGAUACCCUGGUAGUCCACGCCGUAAACGAUGUCAACUAGCCGUUGGGGGACUUGAU
RNAcentral lists this ribosomal RNA (445 nucleotides) under uncultured Marinobacterium sp. Its description in RNAcentral is "bacterial SSU rRNA". It matches the Rfam family "Bacterial small subunit ribosomal RNA", at positions 399 to 836 of the family's 1533-position model. The record is from RNAcentral. Lineage: Bacteria; Pseudomonadati; Pseudomonadota; Gammaproteobacteria; Oceanospirillales; Oceanospirillaceae.